RNAcentral lists this ribosomal RNA (427 nucleotides) under uncultured bacterium. RNAcentral's name for it is "partial 16S ribosomal RNA". It matches the Rfam family "Bacterial small subunit ribosomal RNA", at positions 355 to 774 of the family's 1533-position model. The record is from RNAcentral.
UGGGGAAUAUUGGACAAUGGGCGAAAGCCUGAUCCAGCCAUGCCGCGUGUGUGAAGAAGGUCUUCGGAUUGUAAAGCACUUUAAGUUGGGAGGAAGGGCAUUAACCUAAUACGUUAGUGUUUUGACGUUACCGACAGAAUAAGCACCGGCUAACUCUGUGCCAGCAGCCGCGGUAAUACAGAGGGUGCAAGCGUUAAUCGGAAAUACUGGGCGUAAAGCGCGCGUAGGUGGUUUGUUAAGUUGGAUGUGAAAUCCCCGGGCUCAACCUGGGAACUGCAUUCAAAACUGACUGACUAGAGUAUGGUAGAGGGUGGUGGAAUUUCCUGUGUAGCGGUGAAAUGCGUAGAUAUAGGAAGGAACACCAGUGGCGAAGGCGACCACCUGGACUAAUACUGACACUGAGGUGCGAAAGCGUGGGGAGCAAACA